AGCCUUGUACACACCGCCCGUCAAGCCACCCAAGUAGGGCGCACCCGCAGUCGCUGCCCCAACCGCAAGGAGGGAGGCGCCGAAGGUGAGUUUUACGAGGGGACU
This 105-nucleotide ribosomal RNA is filed under the name uncultured bacterium. RNAcentral's name for it is "partial 16S ribosomal RNA". It matches the Rfam family "Bacterial small subunit ribosomal RNA", at positions 1377 to 1482 of the family's 1533-position model. The record is from RNAcentral.